This is a long non-coding RNA of Thalassophryne amazonica, 697 nucleotides long. RefSeq lists it as uncharacterized. The record is from RefSeq and is a predicted model, not a curated record. Lineage: Eukaryota; Metazoa; Chordata; Actinopteri; Batrachoidiformes; Batrachoididae. The transcript is spliced from 5 exons.
UUCAGAAAAACCUGAUGUUGAAGCACUUAGAGGAGUCAGCAGAAGAGUCUACGGACCUCAUAAUGGAUCUCAGGCUGAGGAAUCAGGAACUGAAUCUCCAGCUGGAGGAUAUACAGGAUGAGGCCUCACUAGCGAGGCUGACUCUGACUCAAAGAGAGGAAAAAAACACGUACUUUCCCUCUCUCCUUUAAAGAAGAAUUAAAGCAGUUGGCUUCUUCACAGAUGAUGGGAACCAACAUAUCAGAUUUUCUAAAUACCAUGGAUACAACCCAUGAGGCGACUGAGGCUGAGGAGCUGGAUGAUGGUCCGACUGAAGUGGUAGACCUUCCAUCCCAAAGGUCCGCAGACAGCCUUCAGACAGGCAUCGUUCAGACAGGAGUUUUGAUGUUGACCUUCCUCGUACUUGUCAUUGUGUUCUUCAUAGCCUGUGGAGGCUUUGCAGGGAUGUAUUUUUCAACCAGCACCCUGUGGUGUAAUGCACAAUGUCUGAUACAGCCCUACGUCACACUGGAGUAUGGGGCUUUACCUUUUUUCUGAUAAAAUCAUUUAAAUCUAUUCACCUGGAUAAGUCUUUAAUUGAAAGUGCAAAAGACGAUUUUUCAUUAUCUUCAUAAAUGUUUUAUUUCAAGUAUUAUUUGGGAAAAAAAUCCACAUUACUUUGCGAAAAGAUCCAACUUGCAUGUUUAUUUGGAACUUA